CAGUUUGUAGCCAGUGACUCAGUCGUCAUUUAACUGCUUUUAUCUUAUUUCUAUUGUCCAUAGUCUGAGCAUGAAAGGAUUGGCUAGCUACGUAUCUAGCAAAGACACCAUACCAUUUAUUCCUAACACAUCGUGGCAGUACCAGUGGGUUUUGUAUCUUUCUGAUGGACAAGCCAACUGUAAACAAGUAAAUUAAGAAUUUAAAUAAUCCCUCCUACUUAGCCCGGUAUUCUUUCUUGUCCCAUUUGCGACGGACAUACUGACGGAACUUAGUCUGGUGAGGCGCACAGGUUGCUG
Molecule: non-coding RNA, 297 nt
Organism: Pelobates cultripes (western spadefoot toad)
Lineage: Eukaryota; Metazoa; Chordata; Amphibia; Anura; Pelobatidae
Source: the annotation of a GenBank genome assembly